CAAAGUGUAUAUACUCUUCGGUGCAGGAAAUUCAAGCAGAGGAAAAGCCAGAGGGAGGCCAAGAAGAACGGAAAAAGCUAUACUAUACGUUGUAAACCUUCCAUGGCGUUUCUCUGUUGCCUCAAAAAUGUUGUGGUUGUUCUCUAGCUAUUUUUGCUACUCAUUUGGACUUGUUGGGUUCAAUUAUCCGGUCGAGAUGGUUUUUCUUUCUUAGUUUCUUGUUGCAUUUUAGAUUAUUAAGCAAAAAGAUGGAAGAAGCUGGGGAUUCGCCUUCAUCACAAUGUCCUCCCAGGAAGAUGCUCGUACAGUUGUUAGAAGUUUGAUUCAUGCGAGUUGUCAGGAAGGAUUAUUAUGGCGGAAUUUGCAAAGAGAUUGAAGAAAACAUCUCUUCCUCGUCCAGAAGGUGCCUGAGGUGGAGAGACACAGCAAAAACUUUAUGUAUUUAAUCUUGCAUGGAAAGCCAGAUCUAGUCAUCUCAGAGAGUUCUUUUCUACUAGUGCAAGUCCAGUUUCAGCUAGGGUGGUCUUCGGCAGCUCUUCAGGUAGAUCUGCUGGGAAUGGAUUUGUUUCGUUUGUGACAAGUGAGGAAGCACAAGCAGCUAUUUCUGCUUUUGAUGGGAAGGGAAGGUAAUGAUGAUUGAAAAAAUCAUGCAGCGGCGAAGUUUUUCAAAGGCACAAAAAGAUGGUUAUUUUUAGAAAUUUAGGACUUGUGAUGACAUUGUAAGAAAGAGUAGAGAUUUGUAUAUGAAAUCUGAGUGAAAAAUCUUAAGUUAAUUUCAUCAGCAACUAGAAGACUAAAGAGAAGCUUUGUAUCUUGGUCACAACAGAGUGGAGAGUCAUAGUUUGCUGUAACUAAAAGUUACUGUUAUCAUCAUGAUCAUUGAAUAUUGCUUUCCUUAAUAAUUGGGUAGAGAUAAAAUUAUUGGUAGUUUGGGUGGAAAAAUGAGAUUCUAGUUUUAGUUAAGUUGCGUGAAUGAAGUAUUUAUUAUUAGCCCAGACUAUUUAUUAGCUUUGUGUAAAUACCUGUUCUUAUUAAAUAUUAAUUGAGUAGUAGGUGGUCAUCCUACUCUAGAUGAACCGUCGAUUAUCUUGAUCUAAAAUCAUUGAUUAGUAAUGUCAGUAGAAAAUGAUAUAAACUCUAGAGUUAUCUGGAUUAUGUAUGCUCGUCUUAUAUGAACAGGAUUCUUUGACAAAGAUAAGUUGCAAUUUCUGUCCAAUUCAACUGGUCAAACCGACCAGGCGACCAUGGUCUCCUUUUUUAAUUUUUACAAAGUUAGCAAGUCGUUACUGAUGCCUGUACUUAUCCAAACCAUCUGAUCAUUGAGGCCUCUUUUCUUGAUCAUUGAUUGGGAUUAAUUGGAGAUUAUCAUCAUUGUAUAAUUGUUGGGAAUGAAGAGAUGGGUUCACUCAGGUUGUGUGAGAUUUUUUUCAUGUUAAUU
Nelumbo nucifera (sacred lotus) is the source of this 1438-nucleotide non-coding RNA. The record is from RefSeq and is a predicted model, not a curated record. NCBI's taxonomy places the organism in Eukaryota, Viridiplantae, Streptophyta, Magnoliopsida, Proteales, Nelumbonaceae.